GUUCGUAGGCGGUGUGGCAAGUCGGGAGUGAAAUCUCUUGGCUUAACUCAUAGGCUGCUUCCGAAACUGCUGUGCUUGAGUGUGGGAGAGGCGCGUGGAAUUGCAGGUGUAGCGGUGAAAUGCGUAGAUAUCUGCAGGAACACCCGUGGCGAAAGCGGCGCGCUGGACCACAACUGACGCUGAGGAACGAAAGCUAGGGGAGCAAACAGGAUUAGAUACCCUGGUAGUCCUAGCCCUAAACGAUCAGGACUUGGGGUGCCACCCGUUCGGGUGUCCUCCCGGACCUAACACGUUAAGUCCUGCACCUGGGGAGUACGGUCGCAAGACUGAAACUCAA
This 337-nucleotide ribosomal RNA is filed under the name uncultured bacterium. Its description in RNAcentral is "bacterial SSU rRNA". It matches the Rfam family "Bacterial small subunit ribosomal RNA", at positions 567 to 904 of the family's 1533-position model. The record is from RNAcentral.